UACGGAGGGUGCGAGCGUUGUCCGGAAUCACUGGGCGUAAAGGGCGCGUAGGCGGCGCGGUAAGCACGCGGUGAAAGCCCGGGGCUCAACCCCGGGUCGGCCGUGCGGACUGCCGCGCUGGAGCACUGUAGAGGCGGGCGGAAUUCCGGGUGUAGCGGUGGAAUGCGUAGAGAUCCGGAAGAACACCGGUGGCGAAGGCGGCCCGCUGGGCAGUGGCUGACGCUGAGGCGCGACAGCGUGGGGAGCAAACAGG
Molecule: ribosomal RNA, 253 nt
Filed under: uncultured bacterium
Lineage: Bacteria
Description: partial 16S ribosomal RNA
Rfam family: Bacterial small subunit ribosomal RNA
Source: RNAcentral